ACCCGGAGAACUGAAACAUCUUAGUACCCGGAGGAAGAGAAAGAAAAUUCGAUUCCCUUAGUAGCGGCGAGCGAAACGGGAAGAGCCCAAACCAACAAGCUUGCUUGUUGGGGUUGUAGGACACUCUAUACGGAGUUACAAAGGACGACAUUAGACGAAUCAUCUGGAAAGAUGAAUCAAAGAAGGUAAUAAUCCUGUAGUCGAAAAUGUUGUCUCUCUUGAGUGGAUCCUGAGUACGACGGAGCACGUGAAAUUCCGUCGGAAUCUGGGAGGACCAUCUCCUAAGGCUAAAUACUCUCUAGUGACCGAUAGUGAACCAGUACCGUGAGGGAAAGGUGAAAAGCACCCCGGAAGGGGAGUGAAAUAGAACCUGAAACCGUGUGCUUACAAGUAGUCAGAGCCCGUUAAUGGGUGAUGGCGUGCCUUUUGUAGAAUGAACCGGCGAGUUACGAUUUGAUGCAAGGUUAAGCAGUAAAUGUGGAGCCGUAGCGAAAGCGAGUCUGAAUAGGGCGUUUAGUAUUUGGUCGUAGACCCGAAACCAGGUGAUCUACCCUUGGUCAGGUUGAAGUUCAGGUAACACUGAAUGGAGGACCGAACCGACUUACGUUGAAAAGUGAGCGGAUGAACUGAGGGUAGCGGAGAAAUUCCAAUCGAACCUGGAGAUAGCUGGUUCUCUCCGAAAUAGCUUUAGGGCUAGCCUCAAGUGAUGAUUAUUGGAGGUAGAGCACUGUUUGGACGAGGGGCCCCUCUCGGGUUACCGAAUUCAGACAAACUCCGAAUGCCAAUUAAUUUAACUUGGGAGUCAGAACAUGGGUGAUAAGGUCCGUGUUCGAAAGGGAAACAGCCCAGACCACCAGCUAAGGUCCCAAAAUAUAUGUUAAGUGGAAAAGGAUGUGGCGUUGCCCAGACAACUAGGAUGUUGGCUUAGAAGCAGCCAUCAUUUAAAGAGUGCGUAAUAGCUCACUAGUCGAGUGACACUGCGCCGAAAAUGUACCGGGGCUAAACAUAUUACCGAAGCUGUGGAUUGUCCUUUGGACAAUGGUAGGAGAGCGUUCUAAGGGCGUUGAAGCAUGAUCGUAAGGACAUGUGGAGCGCUUAGAAGUGAGAAUGCCGGUGUGAGUAGCGAAAGACGGGUGAGAAUCCCGUCCACCGAUUGACUAAGGUUUCCAGAGGAAGGCUCGUCCGCUCUGGGUUAGUCGGGUCCUAAGCUGAGGCCGACAGGCGUAGGCGAUGGAUAACAGGUUGAUAUUCCUGUACCACCUAUAAUCGUUUUAAUCGAUGGGGGGACGCAGUAGGAUAGGCGAAGCGUGCGAUUGGAUUGCACGUCUAAGCAGUAAGGCUGAGUAUUAGGCAAAUCCGGUACUCGUUAAGGCUGAGCUGUGAUGGGGAGAAGACAUUGUGUCUUCGAGUCGUUGAUUUCACACUGCCGAGAAAAGCCUCUAGAUAGAAAAUAGGUGCCCGUACCGCAAACCGACACAGGUAGUCAAGAUGAGAAUUCUAAGGUGAGCGAGCGAACUCUCGUUAAGGAACUCGGCAAAAUGACCCCGUAACUUCGGGAGAAGGGGUGCUCUUUAGGGUUAACGCCCAGAAGAGCCGCAGUGAAUAGGCCCAAGCGACUGUUUAUCAAAAACACAGGUCUCUGCUAAACCGUAAGGUGAUGUAUAGGGGCUGACGCCUGCCCGGUGCUGGAAGGUUAAGAGGAGUGGUUAGCUUCUGCGAAGCUACGAAUCGAAGCCCCAGUAAACGGCGGCCGUAACUAUAACGGUCCUAAGGUAGCGAAAUUCCUUGUCGGGUAAGUUCCGACCCGCACGAAAGGCGUAACGAUUUGGGCACUGUCUCAACGAGAGACUCGGUGAAAUCAUAGUACCUGUGAAGAUGCAGGUUACCCGCGACAGGACGGAAAGACCCCGUGGAGCUUUACUGUAGCCUGAUAUUGAAAUUCGGCACAGCUUGUACAGGAUAGGUAGGAGCCUUUGAAACGUGAGCGCUAGCUUACGUGGAGGCGCUGGUGGGAUACUACCCUAGCUGUGUUGGCUUUCUAACCCGCACCACUUAUCGUGGUGGGAGACAGUGUCAGGCGGGCAGUUUGACUGGGGCGGUCGCCUCCUAAAAGGUAACGGAGGCGCUCAAAGGUUCCCUCAGAAUGGUUGGAAAUCAUUCAUAGAGUGUAAAGGCAUAAGGGAGCUUGACUGCGAGACCUACAAGUCGAGCAGGGUCGAAAGACGGACUUAGUGAUCCGGUGGUUCCGCAUGGAAGGGCCAUCGCUCAACGGAUAAAAGCUACCCCGGGGAUAACAGGCUUAUCUCCCCCAAGAGUUCACAUCGACGGGGAGGUUUGGCACCUCGAUGUCGGCUCAUCGCAUCCUGGGGCUGUAGUCGGUCCCAAGGGUUGGGCUGUUCGCCCAUUAAAGCGGUACGCGAGCUGGGUUCAGAACGUCGUGAGACAGUUCGGUCCCUAUCCGUCGUGGGCGUAGGAAAUUUGAGAGGAGCUGUCCUUAGUACGAGAGGACCGGGAUGGACAUACCUCUGGUGUACCAGUUGUCGUGCCAACGGCAUAGCUGGGUAGCUAUGUGUGGACGGGAUAAGUGCUGAAAGCAUCUAAGCAUGAAGCCCCCC
This 2615-nucleotide ribosomal RNA is filed under the name Staphylococcus aureus. RNAcentral's name for it is "bacterial LSU rRNA". It matches the Rfam family "Bacterial large subunit ribosomal RNA", at positions 183 to 2798 of the family's 2925-position model. Lineage: Bacteria; Bacillati; Bacillota; Bacilli; Caryophanales; Staphylococcaceae. The record is from RNAcentral.